This 1186-nucleotide ribosomal RNA is filed under the name Vibrio cyclitrophicus. RNAcentral's name for it is "bacterial SSU rRNA". It matches the Rfam family "Bacterial small subunit ribosomal RNA". The record is from RNAcentral. Lineage: Bacteria; Pseudomonadati; Pseudomonadota; Gammaproteobacteria; Vibrionales; Vibrionaceae.
AAAUUGAAGAGUUUGAUCAUGGCUCAGAUUGAACGCUGGCGGCAGGCCUAACACAUGCAAGUCGAGCGGAAACGACACUAACAAUCCUUCGGGUGAUGCCUACGGGCCAAAGAGGGGGACCUUCGGGCCUCUCGCGUCAAGAUAUGCCUAGGUGGGAUUAGCUAGUUGGUGAGGUAAUGGCUCACCAAGGCGACGAUCCCUAGCUGGUCUGAGAGGAUGAUCAGCCACACUGGAACUGAGACACGGUCCAGACUCCUACGGGAGGCAGCAGUGGGGAAUAUUGCACAAUGGGCGAAAGCCUGAUGCAGCCAUGCCGCGUGUAUGAAGAAGGCCUUCGGGUUGUAAAGUACUUUCAGUUGUGAGGAAGGGUGUGUAGUUAAUAGCUGCGCAUCUUGACGUUAGCAACAGAAGAAGCACCGGCUAACUCCGUGCCAGCAGCCGCGGUAAUACGGAGGGUGCGAGCGUUAAUCGGAAUUACUGGGCGUAAAGCGCAUGCAGGUGGUUCAUUAAGUCAGAUGUGAAAGCCCGGGGCUCAACCUCGGAACUGCAUUUGAAACUGGUGAACUAGAGUGUGGAGCAUGUGGUUUAAUUCGAUGCAACGCGAAGAACCUUACCUACUCUUGACAUCCAGAGAAGCCAGCGGAGACGCAGGUGUGCCUUCGGGAGCUCUGAGACAGGUGCUGCAUGGCUGUCGUCAGCUCGUGUUGUGAAAUGUUGGGUUAAGUCCCGCAACGAGCGCAACCCUUAUCCUUGUUUGCCAGCGAGUCAUGUCGGGAACUCCAGGGAGACUGCCGGUGAUAAACCGGAGGAAGGUGGGGACGACGUCAAGUCAUCAUGGCCCUUACGAGUAGGGCUACACACGUGCUACAAUGGCGCAUACAGAGGGCAGCAAGCUAGCGAUAGUGAGCGAAUCCCAAAAAGUGCGUCGUAGUCCGGAUUGGAGUCUGCAACUCGACUCCAUGAAGUCGGAAUCGCUAGUAAUCGUGAAUCAGAAUGUCACGGUGAAUACGUUCCCGGGCCUUGUACACACCGCCCGUCACACCAUGGGAGUGGGCUGCAAAAGAAGUGGGUAGUUUAACCUUUCGGGGAGGACGCUCACCACUUUGUGGUUCAUGACUGGGGUGAAGUCGUAACAAGGUAGCCCUAGGGGAACCUGGGGCUGGAUCACCUCCUUAUACGAAGAUAC